Long non-coding RNA from Camelus dromedarius (Arabian camel), 553 nucleotides. RefSeq lists it as uncharacterized. The transcript has 4 exons. Lineage: Eukaryota; Metazoa; Chordata; Mammalia; Artiodactyla; Camelidae. The record is from RefSeq and is a predicted model, not a curated record.
GAAAUCAGGGAAAGGACUGGGAGGCCCUCCCUGAGUGUGGCCUGGCAGGGGGCCCUGUCACGGAUUCUGCAUGGGUAACGCUGGCCGUGGAGAAGUUUUGGAAGGGGAAACCAAAAAGCUUUGGAUCUUUUCCUGAAUUUUUUUGAUGUGCUUCUAAAGCAAGAAAAACCAUCUGUAAAAAGACCAGGAUAGGUGGACAGCAGAACAGUGUGGUCCUGCAGAAGCUGAAGCCUGACACUCCUUACACCAUCACCCUGUCCUCCCUGUAUCCUGAUGCAGAAGGAGGUUGGAUGACAGGAAGAGAACCUUUGAAUACAGUGAGGAACCUCAGUGUAUGACCCUUCCACCAGCACUUUGCACGUUCGCUGGGAGCACACAGAGCAAAAUCCUGGUGCCAAUCCCUGGGAACACCAAUGAUGUCGUUCUAAGGAAUCAGCAGCCGGAUGCCCCAGACACCAUUACAGUGGUUCCCCUCUAUCCUGAGGGUGAUGGAGUGCAUACACCAGAUACUGGAAGGACAUGGAAGUAAGAAGACAGACAAAUUUAGCGUUUU